CUUAUAUAUAUUGAUCAUUAUGCGUCGAUACAGUACAUACUUCUGUAACCACAGUGUGCCCAGGAUCGAUCUGGUAGCUAGUAGUAUCAUAUCCAUUUCAUGUGUUGCUAAUUCGAAACUCCACUUAGUAUGGAGUAUCUAUGAUCUGCAUUCGUAUGCAUCCUUCGUCUUACUUGGAAGAGGGGUUGCCAUCUUUUACUCACGCAUCUCCUCCUGCACCAAAAUAUAAAGAAGAAAACAGUGAAUUAGUUAGAAGCCUAGCUCUACGUCGCACGUAAUCGAAGCUCAUAGUGAUCGUACGUCCGGUUUGAUCACCUGGGUUGACAGAUACCAGGCGAUUCAGGCCGAGGGCGCCGGGCACACGUACAGCGGCGGCACGCCGCCGUUGUCGCCGCAGCUGCUCAUGAGGUCCUGCGGCAGCGUGAGGCCGCAGACGUCGCCCAUGAGGGCGAGCGCGCGGUCGACGGGGAUGUCAACGCCGAUGGCCCGCUCUAGGGUGCGGUUGAAGAUGUGGCACAGGCACGCGGGCUGGUCUCGGACGAUGGUGCCCAGGCCCUUGCAGCACCCCGCGGGCGCCUUGGACGUGCCCGCGUCCCUGAAGAAGGCCAGGCACGGGCUCAGCUCCAGCAGCGACCCCAUGCACGUCGCCGACACGUCCACCGCCGACGGCCUCGGGAUGGUGGGCUCCGACGCGAUGAUGUGCUUCGCCGCCGGCCUCGGGAAGAUGGCUCCCGACGGCCUCGAGAAGAUGGACUUGGGCUCCGACGCGAUGCUCUUUUUCGCCGCAUCGGCCGCCGUGGCGACGGCGAGGGCCAGCAGCAGGAGGAGGACGGAGGCGGCGCAGGGCUUGCUAGACGACGCCAUUGCACUUGACUUCGCCGGAAGGGCUUAAGCUAAGCACGUACGUGGAUGAUUAGCGAGUUUGGCUUGCGAGUCUUGGAUGGGCUUAGAGAUGCUCACUGGUCCAUCUAUUUAUAGUCAAGGUCUCAAGGAGAGGGCCAGGGCGCAACCAUCUGUGAGUUUAUUUCAUGGUUAGUUCCAUGCACGGGUCUUGCGAGCAACACGAAGAUGGCAUGAAUUGCCGAGUCGAGACACGACGCAUUUCUAACUCUGGCCGUCUUACCUACUGCAACAUAGUCUAAAAGAUUAAUUUCGAACAAAAUAAACUUCUAGAGAGAGAGAGAAAUGCACGCGGUGAGCAUGCAUGCUGUUUCAAGGGAUUGUUUUGGGGGUGCAUGAGACAAGUGAUGAGCGGUGGUGGUGGUGUUGCACAUGGAAACGCCAGUUUUCACCAGGUUCAGGUUGUUGGUAUCAAUCUGUCAACGAGAAACAAGCUUCCAGGCAGAGAGAUAUGCACAGACCUGAAGGCCGGGCGGUUCUUCAAUUGUUAAAAAUUCAAAUGUUAAAAGAAAUGGAUAUAUCAUUUUAAUCUGUGUGCCAACUAUGUUGGCUUUGACAAGACCAAAAUGGAGAAGUUAUUCAACUCCUCUUUGAGAUCUCUAAAGACUAACGUGGAGGUUUCCCUAUGUUGUUAUGCAGAUUGGGUUUAAGUGCCAAUUAUACUAUUUUAACUGUAAAUAACUUCAUUAAGAGCUGUUUUUUUGGCCGCAGAUAGCCAGUUUUUACCGAAAUUACACUAGUUUGAUGGUAUAGACAGUGUAUUUAAGGAAUUUCACAUAACAUAUGAUUCAAGCCAUCAUAACAUAUAGUACUAAUUAUAUAUCGGUUUUGCUAUAUUGCAGGUGCCUGGAAUUUUUUGUUGCGUUAGUUAAUUUGUGGGUCAUCCAUUUCUAUGCUAAGAUUCGUGUUGGAUGUGUUGCUCUUUUGCAUUUAUUCUCUUUCUUUUUGAUGAUAUGUCUUAUCUUAUCGGCUCCGGUUCAAUGAAACCCUUUUAUCCUUCGCCGGCUCAACCCGCAUUUUCUUAUCCAUGCAUCCCCCCUCCUCUGCUCUCUUGUCUCUCCAGUUUCUCCGCUCUUCAGUCGCUCCACUCUCUUGCUGGUCUCUUCUGUGGUCUCGAUUAUUCUAGGGUUUUGAGAUGUGGCAUUUUUUUGCUGGUUAUCUUCUUUGAAGAUUUGAUAUAGUUCUUUGAGGUUUGGAUUCAGUGCUUGUGUGGAUUUUGUUCUGUGAAGGGUUUGCUGCCGAGCUUUCCAGAAACCCUAGCUUCCCCGCCCCCUCCCCUACUCCUCGUCCUCAGCUCUUUCCACUGGUAUCAGUUUGCUUGAUUCUCUGUAUUGUACAUGAAUAUCUGAUUUAUAUUAUUGUUUGUGAUGUAUUAGUGAUUGGUUAUUUCGGUUUGUCUAGUUACCCUAGCUGAUUUUAAUUAUUUUAUUAGUAUUAGUAUUAGUAUUGAUAGUUGUCGCUUUUAAUUCUGUUUCAUUCUUGUUGGUUGUGUAUUUAUGUUCUGGUUAGUCUUUUGUGUGGUAUCUAGUUGUUUCUAGUUUUGUGAUUUUAUUUUUGGUAUCUAGAUAUAAUUUUGUUGUUCUCCUUUUAAUGAUUGAACUCUUUAUGUUUUUUUGAACAUUACUACACACACAAGCGCUCAUAUACACGCGCAUACACUCACCCCUAUGAAUGCACACACGCACACCCCACCCCUAUGAGCACCUCCUAAAGACUGAGUCGACAUAUCAUUUACGAAGUCACCGUAGGCACCUUGUCAUCGACGGGAACGUCUCCCCCCCACUGAAUGCACAUCGCUGGAAAUCCUGAAAUAAAUCCAGGAAUAAAUGCGAGCACCAGGAUUUGAACCCUGGUGGGCUGGGGAUACCACAGUCACUCUAACCAUCCAACAACAGGUUGGCUCGCAACUCUUUAUGUUUUAAAUGUAGUAUUUUAGUGUACUAUUUUAAAAUAUAGUUUUAAUUGUGUAUUGAUAGUCUGAUUUCAUCAUUAUCCCGCAGGUAGCUAUGUCUUGCGGUGUUUGCCAGAACUUUGACUGUUGGGAAACGUAGUAGAAAAUAAAAGAAAUCACCCUAUGAUCGCCCAGGAACAAUACGAAGAUGCAUAUAAGGCUUGUUUCAACGACCGUUACCGACUCUAGAGUGCAACAGAAGUAGACUAGUCAGUGUUGAUCGUACUUGGAGUCCCUCGUACCAUAGAUGAACGAUCCACGAAUUGUCCACGAACGAUCCCUCGAACAGAAGAUCGAAAGCACGACCUCUUUAUUUGGUCACAAGCGUACAAUCUUCACGAUCCGGCAGCACUUCGCCGUCCAAAGCUAAUCGUCGCCGGAGAAUCAGAGGGAGGAGAUUUGAACCACACUAUGCUUGUAAUUAUGAGGAUUACAAGAUCUUGGUUAAGCUCUAAUUGAUCAACUAGAACCACUAGUAGAAAAACGACCUAAUGUUCACCUCAUUAGUCCUGGUUCAAUUACGGACCGGCACUAAUAUGACCAUUAGUGCCGGUUCCAAAGGCUAGGAGGGCAGCACUCAUUAGUCUCGGUUCAUGUUGAACCUCUAGUACCGGUUCGUGCCACGAACCGUGACUAAAGAGGUGGUGGCUCAAGAGGAACUAGAGGAGGCUCUAAAACUUGUAUACACAAAAGGGACAAUACCUCAAGUAUAUAUAGGUUACAAGGGGAGAGAGGGGCUGUCACCAAGUAGGGAAAGUCCCUCCUUGAGGCGCCAAUCAAGGGAGGGGAGGAGGAAUCCCCCCACUCCAAUUCGGCCUUCCCUGUAGGAAAGGGGAGGGGGGGGGGGUGUGCCACUUCCACUUGGGCCUUUGUGGCCCAAGUUGUCUUCCACCUCUUGGACUUUUAAGACCUGUUGAUAUUAAAUUUAAUAUAAAAUCCUCCUAACAAUUUCUAGAGCUUUUUAUUAUUAAUUUAACAUCAUGGGAGACAUUUUCCACCUAUAUAUUAUUUACAGGGAAUAUCCGGUAUUGCCGAAUAAACUUUGAAAUCCUUCCAGUGACCUCGAAAUGCUUUCGGUUCCUCUCAAAACUAUUCUGAAUAUUGAUACGUCUCCAACGUAUCUACUUUUCCAAACACUUUUUGCCCUUGUUUUGGACUCUAACUUGCAUGAUUUGAAUGGAACUAACCCGGACUGACGCUAUUUUCAGCAGAAUUGCCAUGGUGUUAUUUUUGUGCAGAAAUAAAAGUUCUCGGAAUGACCUGAAAAUCAAUGGAGAAUAUUUUUGGAAUAUAUAAAAAAUUCUGGCGAAAGAAUCAAGGCCAGGGGACCCACACCCUAUCCACGAGGGUGGGGGCACGCCUACCCCCUGGGCGCCCCCUGCCUCGUGGGCCCCCUGAUGCUCCACCGACCUCAACUCCAACUCUAUAUAUUCACGUUCGGGGAGAAAAAAAAUCAGAGAGAAGGAUUCAUCGCGUUUUACGAUACGGGGCCGCCGCCAAGCUCUAAUCUCUCCCGAGAGGGCUGAUCUGGAGUCCGUUCGGGGCUCCGGAGAGGGGAAUCCAUCACCAUCGUCAUCAUCAACCUUCCUCCAUCACCAAUUUUAUGAUGCUCACCGCCGUGUGUGAGUAAUUGCAUCGUAGGCUUGCUGGACGGUGAUGGGUUGGAUGAGAUUUAUCAUGUAAUCGAGUUAGUUUUGUUAGGGUUUGAUCCCUAGUAUCCAUUAUGUUCUGAGAUUGAUGUUGCUAUGACUUUGCUAUGCUUAAUGCUUGUCACUAGGGCCCGAGUGCCAUGAUUUCAGAUCUGAACCCAUUAUGUUUUCAUGAAUAUAUGUGAGUUCUUGAUCCUAUCUUGCAAGUCUAUAGUCACCUAUUAUGUGUUAUGAUCCGUUAAGCCCGAGGUGACAAUAAUCGGGAUACUUACCGGUGAUGACCGUAGUUUGAGGAGUUCAUGUAUUCACUAAGUGUUAAUGUUUUGGUCUGGUACUCUAUUAAAAGGAGGUCUUAAUAUCCCUUAGUUUUCAAUAGGACCCCGCUGCCACGGGAGGGUAGGACAAAAUAUGUCAUGCAAGUUAUUUUCCAUAAGCACGUAUGACUAUAUUCGGAAUACAUGCCUACAUUACAUUGAUGAACUAGAGCUAGUUCUGUGUCACCCUAUGUUAUAACUAUUGCAUGAGGAAUCGCAUCCGACAUAAUUAUCCAUCACUGAUCCAUUGCCUACGAGCUUUCCAUAUAUUGUUCUUCGCUUAUUUACUUUCCCGUUGCUAUUGCUAUCAUCACUACAAAAUACCAAAAACAUUACUUUUACUAUUGUUACCUUUUGCUGUCGUUAUCACCACUAUCAUGAUAAUAUUAUUGCCUCUAUGACAUAUUUCCAACAUUGAGUGCUCUGGUGUUGUGUUGGGCGUGCAGCAUAGAUUCUUCACCGUGGCUUUGCCCCAUUGUUAUGACCAUUGUGCGGUUUGAUUAAUGUUUUAUUUCUCCUUCAUUUAAAUGUUUAUUUCUAGUUCUUCUAUGAUUGAUUAUUUAUUUUUAUAGGUAAUAGUCCUUGUUCUGUGUUUUGCAUUGGUUGUGCAAGUACUGUCUAAGUUGUGUGUAUGUAUUAGGUUAUAUGCUUGUUGUUAGGUUCUAGCUGUUAUCAUCCUAGAUUUAAUUUUAUUGCUAGUUUUGUAAAAGCUACUCUCUCCCCUCCUGUUGGUCAGCUAUUACUUAGUUUAGUAUGUUUUGCUCUUGUAAUUUAACUUUUGUUGCUCGUCUGUUUGAUGUUUGCUCACCUAUUAUUUUAACAAUGACUUGCUCUUUUGUUAUUAUAUAGUGUAUAUAUUUUUGCUUAUUUUCUAUUUGGAAUUUUUUUGCAGUAUGUCCCAUGCUAUUAGAGGCAACAAUUGUUGAUUCUAUUUGCUGGUCGGAAGCUUACUGCUUUUGAAGAUGAGGGACAAACUGCAAUCCUUUGUUUGUAACGAAUGAGACUCUCAGUAAUGAAUUGAAGCUUACCGAUGUGGAUCGCAUGUGUAAGUCUCAUGGUCCUAGGUGGAAGAAUUUGAUUGAUGAGUAUGAUCUUCGUUAUCGCAAUUUCAUUACUUAGUUUGCUUGGUGAUGAUCUUCAUACUGAUGUUAUCUGGGGCUGAAAGAUUCUCGUGGUGGUCAAGUUCCUUUGCCCAAGCCUAGUGUUCGUAUGUGUUCUAUGCAUAUCCCCCUUUGCUUAUGUUUUCACUCUAUUCAUGUGUCCUUUUCUGUGAAGUUUAUCAAGUAUUAUGCUAUUGAUUUAUUCAAAUGCAUGGUUAUUUUUAGUAGUUAAGGUUGUUGUUUAUCAUGAUGUUGAGCAAGUAUAUUAUGUGCAGUAUGCAAUUUUUUGUUAUUUUAGAAUAUCUUGAGUUGUUUGCAAUUUUUUGUAAGGUUGAAAGAUUCUCAUGGUGGUCAAUUUUAGUAUAUCAAGUAUAUUCUGAGCAAGUAUACCAUGAGUUAUUAGAUUUCCUGAAGGUUUGUCCCCAGUUAGAGUAUGGUGAUGAAUUGAUAUGUUCUCCACUUGGAGAUGAGUUGAUGGUCUUUUGACCAACACGGUGGUUGAAGAUUCUAGUGAAAAUUUGAUCGGUUGUGUAUUUUUGAGCGUACAUAGUGCACGUACGGUGUAGGAUGCUUCUACAUGAGUGCUUGAAGAGGGGUAAUAUCGCCGCAUCGGCAAGCAUCCAUGUGAGAGUUUCAUCUACUCAAACUCAAGUACCUAUUUGUAGGUACGUGAUGGUCAAACUGUCUAUUCCUUUUGGGGGAAUUGUAUUGUCCAUUCUUGGAAUAAUCUUAUAUGUUAGCACAGGUGCCUAGUUAAGCAUGUGAUCGAAGUGACUUUUCCCCGCAAAAAAGAAAAAGAUGAUGCUAGUCUUUUCUUGAGGAAGCCGCAUUUAUUUUUUGCUGAGUUGAAAGACAUAGAUAAUUGCACUAUCCCAUAAGGUAAAACCAUGAGAGCACAAGUAAAUAUAUAAUACUUUUUUGUUUCUUAUAUAUUGAUCAUUAUGCGUGGAGACAGUACAUACUUCCGUAACCACAGUAUACCCAGGAUCGAUCUGGUAGCUAGUAGUAUCAUAUCCAUUCCAUGUGAUGCUAAUUCGAAACUCCAAUUAGUAUGGAGUAUCUAUGAUAAGCUGCAUUCGUAUGCAUGCAUCCUUCGUCUUGCUUGGAAGAGGGGCUGCCAUCUUUUACUCACGCAUCUCCUCCUGCACGAAAAAUACAAAGAAAAAACAGUGAAUUAGUUAGAAGCCUAGCUCUACGUUGCACGUAGUCGAAGCUCCUAGUGAUCAUACGGCCGGUUUGAUCACCUGGGUUGACAGAUAUCAGGCGAUUCAGGCCGAGGGCGCCGGACACACGUACAGUGGCGGCACGCCGCCGUUGUCGCCGCAGCUGCUCAUGAGGUCCUGCGGCAGCGUGAGGCCGCAGACGUCGCCCAUGAGGGCAAGCGCGCGGUCGACGGGGAUGUCGACGCCGAUGGCACGCUCCAGGGUGCGGUUGAAG
This 7351-nucleotide long non-coding RNA is filed under the name Triticum aestivum (bread wheat). RNAcentral describes it as "long non-coding RNA (TAES_LNC009894)". Lineage: Eukaryota; Viridiplantae; Streptophyta; Magnoliopsida; Poales; Poaceae. The record is from RNAcentral.